This 504-nucleotide long non-coding RNA is filed under the name Equus caballus (horse). RNAcentral describes it as "lncRNA (ENSECAG00000055871.1)". The record is from RNAcentral. Lineage: Eukaryota; Metazoa; Chordata; Mammalia; Perissodactyla; Equidae.
GUUCUCUUGCAUCGCUUGCUCCAGGGGAAGCCAUCUGCCAUGCUGGAGGACACCCAAGCAGCAAUGUGCAGAGGCCCACGUGGAGAGAAACUGAGCCUUCCUAGUCACAGCCACCAACUUGCCACCCAGCUCUUAGACCACACUGAAUGGACAAGAAGAGGCGAGGAGGAGACAGCAACUCCCGACAGUGGUGACGAGCCAAGCUGGAGGAAUGGACAGAGGCGGUGCCUUUGCAGCAUGGUUGUAAAGGCUUGCUUGGGAAGGAACUCCCACUUCCAAAAAGGAAAAAAAGAGACCUGCCACCUAAAAUUUUAUGGGAAUAAAAUUACUCCUUCAUCUUCUUAAAUACGGACACUCCAAGAAGAAAGAUACCAAUUUAUUCCAGGAUUUGGCAAAGACAGCAAUUGAGGGCACUAUGGGGCAUUUGGGACACCACGGAGGGAGCUGAGGGAUUCAGAAAUGGGGAGGGACCAAGGGUGACUGGAGUGAGGGUGGGGCCUGGAG